RNAcentral lists this unclassified non-coding RNA (371 nucleotides) under Hevea brasiliensis (rubber tree). The record is from RNAcentral. Lineage: Eukaryota; Viridiplantae; Streptophyta; Magnoliopsida; Malpighiales; Euphorbiaceae.
AAUCAAAGAACCCAAAAAGCAGAAAUUGAAGAACAGACAUAAUAAGGAGUAGAAAGCUGAAACAGAGAGAGCUCCGUUAAACAAGAGAGAGAGAAGAAGAAGACAAGAUAGAAUAUUUUUGGUUUCAGAGAUCCUUGGGAUCUCAAAAACCCGUGAAAUGAUCAAAUUCGAUGCAAAAGGAAAAGAAAAAGAACGAGGGAAAAUUGUGGAAUAAGAAAGAUUAAAAAUUGACAUCAAAUAAGGAGAUUAAAUGUUAUGAAUAAAAAAAAAUUCGAAGAAAAAGUGAGUGCAGAUAACCAUCACCAAGACCGUCACCUGAUUCACAGUGGGGUCUCUUUCUGCAUUUCUUCUUCUUCUCCUUCGUUUUCUCU